UACAGAGGUGGCAAGCGUUGUUCGGAAUUACUGGGCGUAAAGGGCGCGUAGGCGGCCUUCUAAGUCGAACGUGAAAUCCCCGGGCUCAACCCGGGAACUGCGUCCGAUACUGGCAGGCUUGAAUCCGGGAGAGGGAUGCGGAAUUCCAGGUGUAGCGGUGAAAUGCGUAGAUAUCUGGAGGAACACCGGUGGCGAAGGCGGCGUCCUGGACCGGUAUUGACGCUGAGGCGCGAAAGCCAGGGGAGCAAACGGG
Molecule: ribosomal RNA, 253 nt
Filed under: uncultured bacterium
Lineage: Bacteria
Description: partial 16S ribosomal RNA
Rfam family: Bacterial small subunit ribosomal RNA
Source: RNAcentral